GGGUUGUGAGGUUAAGCGACUAAGCGUACACGGUGGAUGCCCUGGCAGUCAGAGGCGAUGAAGGACGUGCUAAUCUGCGAUAAGCGUCGGUAAGGUGAUAUGAACCGUUAUAACCGGCGAUUUCCGAAUGGGGAAACCCAGUGUGUUUCGACACACUAUCAUUAACUGAAUCCAUAGGUUAAUGAGGCGAACCGGGGGAACUGAAACAUCUAAGUACCCCGAGGAAAAGAAAUCAACCGAGAUUCCCCCAGUAGCGGCGAGCGAACGGGGAGCAGCCCAGAGCCUGAAUCAGUGUGUGUGUUAGUGGAAGCGUCUGGAAAGGCGCGCGAUACAGGGUGACAGCCCCGUACACAAAAAUGCACAUGCUGUGAGCUCGAUGAGUAGGGCGGGACACGUGGUAUCCUGUCUGAAUAUGGGGGGACCAUCCUCCAAGGCUAAAUACUCCUGACUGACCGAUAGUGAACCAGUACCGUGAGGGAAAGGCGAAAAGAACCCCGGCGAGGGGAGUGAAAAAGAACCUGAAACCGUGUACGUACAAGCAGUGGGAGCCUCUUUUAUGG
This 560-nucleotide ribosomal RNA is filed under the name Escherichia coli. Its description in RNAcentral is "partial 23S ribosomal RNA". It matches the Rfam family "Bacterial large subunit ribosomal RNA", at positions 1 to 591 of the family's 2925-position model. The record is from RNAcentral. Lineage: Bacteria; Pseudomonadati; Pseudomonadota; Gammaproteobacteria; Enterobacterales; Enterobacteriaceae.